UGAGGCAGACAAAAGCUGUCAGG
RNAcentral lists this non-coding RNA (23 nucleotides) under Rattus norvegicus (Norway rat). Lineage: Eukaryota; Metazoa; Chordata; Mammalia; Rodentia; Muridae. The record is from RNAcentral.